This 319-nucleotide ribosomal RNA is filed under the name Klebsiella pneumoniae subsp. pneumoniae. RNAcentral's name for it is "bacterial LSU rRNA". It matches the Rfam family "Bacterial large subunit ribosomal RNA", at positions 2624 to 2925 of the family's 2925-position model. The record is from RNAcentral. Lineage: Bacteria; Pseudomonadati; Pseudomonadota; Gammaproteobacteria; Enterobacterales; Enterobacteriaceae.
AGACAGUUCGGUCCCUAUCUGCCGUGGGCGCUGGAGAAUUGAGGGGGGCUGCUCCUAGUACGAGAGGACCGGAGUGGACGCAUCACUGGUGUUCGGGUUGUCAUGCCAAUGGCACUGCCCGGUAGCUAAAUGCGGAAGAGAUAAGUGCUGAAAGCAUCUAAGCACGAAACUUGCCCCGAGAUGAGUUCUCCCUGAGACUAUAAGUCUCCUGAAGGAACGUUAAAGACGAUGACGUUGAUAGGCCGGGUGUGUAAGCGCAGCGAUGCGUUGAGCUAACCGGUACUAAUGAACCGUGAGGCUUAACCUUACAACGCCGAAG